GAGACCGAUAGAAAACAAGUACCGUGAGGGAAAGUUGAAAGAACUUUGAAGAGAGAGUUCAAUAGUACGUGAAACCGUUUAGGGGUAAACGGAAAAGAACUAAAAAUCCGAAAAGGGAGAUUCACGUCCACACGUUAUUUUGACUGCAGUGAUUUAUGAUGACUAGUGGAUUGUGCCUUGUGUAUAAUACUGCUAAUUGCAUUUAUCUUGUAUUUCAAGUGACGGUGGACCGCACUUCUCCCUAAGUAGGACGUCGCGACCCGCUAAUUUAUAAUCUAUGUGCAAUUUAAAAGUCUGUUCUGAAUUAAUUUUAUAUUAUUUAGUCAGGUGAUUUGCUUCUGAUUAUAAUUAAUUGGCGGUAUAAAACGACAGUGGUGAGCCGCUUUUAAAGCGUUUAAUUAACUAAUUAGUUGUGUUAGGAUUUGAUAAUAAAUGGUUAUUACCCUUAUUUGAUAUUCUGCCAACUAAUAUUAGUUUUUAUUAAACAGUGUUCACAACACUAGUCAGCGGCGCUACAGUUUUAGUAACUUUUCCGACCCGUCUUGAAACACGGANNNNNNNNNAAGGAGUCUAACAUAUGCGCAAGUCAUUGGGUAAUAAAAACCUAAAGGCGUAACAAAAGUAAAAAAACUUUUGCUUUGUUAGGGAGGAUGAAUAUAGACAAUUUGUCUUAUUCCGCACUCCCGGGGCGUCUGUUACUCAUUGCGAGUAAAGGCGCACCUAGAGCGUAUACGUUGGGACCCGAAAGAUGGUGAACUAUGCUUGACCAGGAUGAAGCCAGGGGAAACCCUGGUGGAGGUCCGUAGCGAUUCUGACGUGCAAAUCGAUCGUCAGAGUUAAGUAUAGGGGCGAAAGACCUAUCGAACCAUCUAGUAGCUGGUUCCCUCCGAAGUUUCCCUCAGGAUAGCUGGUGCCAAUGAUGAAACGAGUCUCAUCCGGUAAAGCGAAUGAUUAGAGGCCUUGGGGCCGAAACGACCUCAACCUAUUCUCAAACUUUAAAUGGAUGAGAGCCUUGGCUUGCUUAAAAGUGAAGCCAGGGACUUGGAUCUAGGUGCCAAGUGGGCCAAUUUUGG
This 1073-nucleotide ribosomal RNA is filed under the name Hypselosoma sp. Thailand_3024. RNAcentral's name for it is "partial large subunit ribosomal RNA". It matches the Rfam family "Eukaryotic large subunit ribosomal RNA", at positions 330 to 1140 of the family's 3401-position model. Lineage: Eukaryota; Metazoa; Arthropoda; Insecta; Hemiptera; Schizopteridae. The record is from RNAcentral.